GAUCCUGAUGAUUAGUUUUUUUGUGCUUUGCACAGUUGGAAUUACCGGCUGAACACUCUUGUUGAAAACAACUGGCUGUUUCUGAUU
Molecule: small nucleolar RNA, 87 nt
Organism: Colletotrichum salicis
Lineage: Eukaryota; Fungi; Ascomycota; Sordariomycetes; Glomerellales; Glomerellaceae
Rfam family: A. fumigatus snoRNA Afu_300
Source: Rfam